UCAGAGUGAACGCUGGCGGUAGGCCUAACACAUGCAAGUCGAACGGCAGCACAGGAGAGCUUGCUCUCUGGGUGGCGAGUGGCGGACGGGUGAGGAAUGCAUCGGAAUCUACUCUUUCGUGGGGGAUAACGUAGGGAAACUUACGCUAAUACCGCAUACGACCUACGGGUGAAAGCCGGGGACCUUCGGGCCUGGCGCGAAUGAAUGAGCCGAUGCCCGAUUAGCUAGUUGGCGGGGUAAGAGCCCACCAAGGCGACGAUCGGUAGCUGGUCUGAGAGGAUGAUCAGCCACACUGGAACUGAGACACGGUCCAGACUCCUACGGGAGGCAGCAGUGGGGAAUAUUGGACAAUGGGCGCAAGCCUGAUCCAGCCAUACCGCGUGGGUGAAGAAGGCCUUCGGGUUGUAAAGCCCUUUUGUUGGGAAAGAAAAGCAAUCGGUUAAUACCCGGUUGUUCUGACGGUACCCAAAGAAUAAGCACCGGCUAACUUCGUGCCAGCAGCCGCGGUAAUACGAAGGGUGCAAGCGUUACUCGGAAUUACUGGGCGUAAAGCGUGCGUAGGUGGUUGUUUAAGUCUGUCGUGAAAGCCCUGGGCUCAACCUGGGAAUUGCGAUGGAAACUGGGCGACUAGAGUGUGGCAGAGGGUAGUGGAAUUCCUGGUGUAGCAGUGAAAUGCGUAGAGAUCAGGAGGAACAUCCGUGGCGAAGGCGACUGCCUGGGCCAACACUGACACUGAGGCACGAAAGCGUGGGGAGCAAACAGGAUUANAUACCCUGGUAGUCCACGCCCUAAACGAUGCGAACUGGAUGUUGGGUGCA
Molecule: ribosomal RNA, 818 nt
Filed under: Stenotrophomonas maltophilia
Lineage: Bacteria; Pseudomonadati; Pseudomonadota; Gammaproteobacteria; Lysobacterales; Lysobacteraceae
Description: bacterial SSU rRNA
Rfam family: Bacterial small subunit ribosomal RNA
Source: RNAcentral